AGUGAACGCUGGCGGUAGGCCUAACACAUGCAAGUCGAACGGCAGCACAGUAAGAGCUUGCUCUUACGGGUGGCGAGUGGCGGACGGGUGAGGAAUACAUCGGAAUCUACUUUUUCGUGGGGGAUAACGUAGGGAAACUUACGCUAAUACCGCAUACGACCUACGGGUGAAAGCAGGGGAUCUUCGGACCUUGCGCGAUUGAAUGAGCCGAUGUCGGAUUAGCUAGUUGGCGGGGUAAAGGCCCACCAAGGCGACGAUCCGUAGCUGGUCUGAGAGGAUGGUCAGCCACACUGGAACUGAGACACGGUCCAGACUCCUACGGGAGGCAGCAGUGGGGAAUAUUGGACAAUGGGCGCAAGCCUGAUCCAGCCAUACCGCGUGGGUGAAGAAGGCCUUCGAGUUGUAAAGCCCUUUUGUUGGGAAAGAAAAGCAGCAGGUUAAUACCCCGCUGUUCUGACGGUACCCAAAGAAUAAGCACCGGCUAACUUCGUG
RNAcentral lists this ribosomal RNA (492 nucleotides) under uncultured bacterium. Its description in RNAcentral is "partial 16S ribosomal RNA". It matches the Rfam family "Bacterial small subunit ribosomal RNA", at positions 29 to 507 of the family's 1533-position model. The record is from RNAcentral.